ACAUAGUCUUGAACAAGGCUAAAUAACUGGACAUACAAGAUGGAUUUCUCAUGUCUAGCAGCUACUGUUGUUCUGUAGGAUCAUGUCUCUGUAUAUCAUCAAGCUGGUAAGUGCUAUUGGGGCUCGGGUAUGUUUUUGUAUGACUAGGACUUCAAGCCACAAACACUGAUGAAUUACAUCAAUUCUACAAUGAGCCGGUGAACAAAAUCUCGGCCAGAUUGAUAACUACUGGAAGAGUUUGACUGUGGGUAUUGUUGCUGUGAUCGUGGUGAUAUAAACAGGUUUUGAGCCUAAGAGACAAUUACUUAUUUUCUCAGUAAUGUUCCAUUUAAUGUAUAAAAUAUCACAAGGUAUAAUACGUUCCCCACAUAGAUUGUUUCCCCCCCCCCCCACGUUUAAGAUAGGCAACUUGGACAACAGGAUAGCAAAUGCACAUCAGCUGCUCACGCAAGAUGUUGAGAGGUUUUGUAACAGCGUGGUGAACCAGUAUUCAAACUUAAGCAAGCUAUUUUUGGAUAUCGUUCUGUAUAUUGUCAAGCUGACAAAUGCUCAGGGACCAGCCAGCAUGAUGGCUUACCUACUCGUAGCUGACCUUUUCCUUACACACCUUAGAAGGGGGGGGGGGUUUGAGCAAAUCGUGUAACAUAGAAAUGCGCUUGAUGAAGGCAUGCACUAAGUAUGCAAUAAAUUGAAUGUGUGUAAAUCCUU
Molecule: long non-coding RNA, 708 nt
Organism: Spea bombifrons (plains spadefoot toad)
Lineage: Eukaryota; Metazoa; Chordata; Amphibia; Anura; Pelobatidae
Exons: 3
Source: RefSeq, a predicted model, not a curated record